UGGAGGACUGAGAAGGUAAGACAGUUAAAACUUUAUGCUGUAUCUUACUGGUUAUAGCCUCCAAAAUUAUAAUAGCACAACAGCAAUUCAUGUUCCCCUCGACAUGAGGGAAAGCAGUACUGCAUUUG
Molecule: small nucleolar RNA, 128 nt
Filed under: Nipponia nippon (crested ibis)
Lineage: Eukaryota; Metazoa; Chordata; Aves; Pelecaniformes; Threskiornithidae
Description: Small nucleolar RNA SNORA47
Rfam family: Small nucleolar RNA SNORA47
Source: Rfam by way of RNAcentral